Molecule: small nuclear RNA, 186 nt
Filed under: Tetraselmis astigmatica
Lineage: Eukaryota; Viridiplantae; Chlorophyta; Chlorodendrophyceae; Chlorodendrales; Chlorodendraceae
Description: partial Dictyostelium signal recognition particle
Source: RNAcentral
CGGGGACCCGGCUGGUGGCGGAGUGCUCCAGGACAGUGGUUGCUGCCUUUGCUAGCAUCGACUCAGCGUUUACAAAAUUCGAAGAGAAGCACAAGAAGAUGAUCAAGGGCACCUCGCGGAUUCUGCAGCACCUCGCGUGCGAGUACCCGCCCUACCUCACUGAAAUGCUUUCUAUUUCUGGCAAGG